AAUAAGAUCACAAUUUGUUUUUCUCGCAUCCAUGCUGCUUGUUUUUCUAACUUAUUCUAUUUUUUUACGUCCAUGUUGGAAAGGUUUCAAUGUAUGGAAUUAUGUUGGAAGCUUGUAAAGUUUCAUUUAAAACAUGAGCUGUGAACCACAUUUGUUGGUGUAACUAGGCAUUUUAAUUAUUUUUCGUUUAUUUAUAAAAAAAGUGUUGAAAAUACUAAUUUAACUUGAAUAAACUGUACUGGUUAGUAUGCUGUAAAUAGCACUAUUUUAGGAUAGAAUAUUUCAUUCUUUCCUUUUUUUUAUGUACUGUGUAAUUAUUAGGACAGAUUUUUAUUUCAUUUUCUCUUAUUGUAAUUAUGUUUCACGUACAAGCCUAAUAGCCUAUAAAUGUUAGAGCUUGUAAAUUAUAAAUUUUCAUUUAAUAAGAUGAUUGAUUAUUCAGAUGUUUUAAGUUGGUUCCAGAGCUCCCGACCCAGGAGAUUUUGCUUCUGCUUCAAAACCCUAGCUGUCUUCAUUGCUGCAUCAGCCUUCAUAUCUAAGCCUUAGUUGCCUUCAUUGAGUCCAUUUCUAGAUCAGAUCGUCAACCCCGAUGUCAGUUUCACCAGACCUGAAAGUGUCUUCACCAAAAACCAUCCCAUAUACCUGCACCUGUGUAAUUUGUUCACGUCGCAUGUAACCCAUGGGUCACCAUGCCGACUUUUGUUUUCGAUGCCGUUUCCACAUACUUGGUUGCCUAAUUUCCCUGGUCCUUUAACAAGUAUCAUAUUACAAGUUUUGAACCCUAAUGUUCUCUUCGUACUGCAUGGUGUAUAUUGCCCUGGCGGGCUUAACUAUCUUCAGUGGGCCUAGUUUGUCCACACCACACUUGGAAGGGAAAACACUAACAGAGAUUGACUUGUGUAUGGAGAUUGGGAUGAAGAAGAAUCUCUUAUAAUUGUUACAACAGUUCGACCUUAAAGUUGCAUUUUUGCAUGGAGACUUAGAGGAAGAAAUAUAUUGGAAUAAUAUUCCAUGCUUGGUUUGUGAGGUUGACUGAAGCUACACAUGCAGAAUCAAGGUGGCCGUAUUCUCUUGAUAAAACAUGCCCACAAAGGCAAACUCACACUUCUUCUCAUCUAUGUGUCUAUGUAGAUCAUAUGACCAUUGUAGGUGAUGAUGAGGUUGAAAAACAAAUUCUUAGGGAGAAGUUAGCACCUCAGUUUGAUUUGAAGAAGCUAAAAUACAUCUCUGUGAUAGAGGUUGUGUAUCCUUAAUAAAAUAUAUUUAUCUCAAAGGUGAUGUGUCAUUGAUCUUGGUGAGAGCCCAAAGUGAAGGAUUAGUACAAAAGACCUAUGGGAAAAAUCGUUGGUCCUCGUUAAAGACAUUUACGACUAGAAUCUUUUAGUACUUGAAAGCAAAUUCAAGAAGAGGUCCACUAUUCCAGAAAGAGGGGAAAUCAUCUAUGGAUGGGUUUACAUAUGCAGACUAUUUGGGGUCUAUUGUUGAUAGGUUAUCCACCAUGGGGUACUAUAUGUUUUUGAGUGGAAAUUUAGUGACAUGGAGAAGUAAGCAGCAAAAUAUAGUUGCCAGAUCGAGUGGAGAAGCAGAACUUCGAGCUGGCUCAAGGGUUUUGUGAGCUAUGGAUGAAGAUCUUCAUCUUACUUGACAGCCUAGUAUAAAGUAUGAAGGAAGUUUUGUGAUAAUAAUUCUGCCAUUAGCAUUGCACACAGCCCGAUAUAGCAUAACAGGACAGAACAUAUUGAGGUAGACUGACAUUACACUAAAGAGAAAUUGGGCACUGGCCUGAUAACUGCUUAUGUAAUUUUCAGGACACCAGCUGACAGAUGUUCUGGCUAAGGACUUGUAAACAGAGAAAGUUUCAACUACUCAUAAGAUGGAAAUUAUAGAUAUCCGUUGACCAGCUUGAGGGGAAUAAACUUUGUUUAGGAUAAAACAUUUCAUUCUUUCCUUUUUUCUUAUGUAAACAUCACCAAAUAUCACCGAUGUACUAUGUAAUCAUUUCAACAUAAUUUUAUCCCCCCCCCCCUUCUGGUUUUCAUUAAUUAGGUUUCAAGUACUAGCCUAUGAAUAUGAAUAUUUUGUAAAUUGUAAAUUAUCACUUAAUAAAUUUAUUGAUUAUUCAGA
This is a long non-coding RNA of Lotus japonicus, 2124 nucleotides long. RefSeq lists it as uncharacterized. The record is from RefSeq and is a predicted model, not a curated record. Lineage: Eukaryota; Viridiplantae; Streptophyta; Magnoliopsida; Fabales; Fabaceae. The transcript is spliced from 2 exons.